UUCAUACAUAUCAUUAUUUAAUACUUCCUUUGAUUUGGACAACUCAUCACCCACUUCCUCUAAUGUGUGCACUCAUCACCACAAGUGUUGCCCACAUCCCACAUCUAGAAUGCACCACCUUAGUGAUGAUGAAACCCAUGUGCCUUGGAAAUAAGGCUAAGAUGCACCAAUUCCCAUCCAUUGGAUCAAAAUGUGUCUACUUGAUCCUAACCAUUCAUUCUCUUAUAAAUAGAACCAAGGUGGAAGAUGCAAUGCCCAUUAAGCUUCACUCACACACACACCUAAGGCCAAGAGAGAAAAUUGUGGGAUUUGUGUAGUCUUGUGUUGUUCAAGGCUUGAAGUGUAUGCUAGGAAGUAUUUUGGAAAAGAAGUUUAAAGGAACUACACGAAGAAGAGGGUUAAUAGAUAAAGACCAGAGCUCAAGAGGUUUUAUAGCUAAGGACGCAUAGUUUAUAUUUUGUUUGUAGUCUUCUGUGUUUAUAGUAUUUUAUGUUGACAAGAUUGCUAAUGAUUUAUAUGUAUUCUUUUGUGUCAUUAUGGACACCUGUUUCCUUGUAUUUGUUAUAAGUAUUUUCUAAUGAAUAUCUAGAGGUAUUUAAU
Molecule: long non-coding RNA, 600 nt
Organism: Alnus glutinosa
Lineage: Eukaryota; Viridiplantae; Streptophyta; Magnoliopsida; Fagales; Betulaceae
Exons: 3
Source: RefSeq, a predicted model, not a curated record